AUGGUGUCGCGGGGGCUGUUCGGCUGGUCCCCGCCGCACGUGCAGCCGCUCACGCCGGUCUCCGAGACCUCCGAGCCGCCCGAGUCGCCCUCGCCCUACGCGGCCGACGCAUUCGGCGUCGGCGGCCCCGGGGACCCGCCCCGCCACCCCGACGGCGCGGGCCCCGAGGACGACGGCGGCGACGACGACGGGGCCGACGGCGAGGACCCCGAGCCCCCGCCCGCGGCCGUGCCCUUCAAGCGCCUCUUCGCCUGCGCCGACCGCCUCGACUGGGCGCUCAUGGCCGCGGGCGGCGCCGCGGCCGCCGCCCACGGGGUCGCGCUCGUCGUCUACCUCCACCUCUUCGGCCGCGCCAUCAACUCCCUCCACGGCCGCCACACCGACCAGCUCUUCCGCGACAUCAAGCAGCAUGCUUUAUACUUCCUCUAUAUAGCAAUUGGUGUGUUCUUUGCUGGAUGGAUAGAGGUUUCAUGCUGGAUUUUAACUGGGGAAAGGCAGACAGCGGUGAUAAGGUCAAAGUAUGUCCAAGUCUUGUUAAACCAAGACAUGAGUUUCUUUGAUACCUAUGGAAACAAUGGUGAUAUUGUUAGUCAAGUGCUGAGUGAUGUCUUGCUCAUUCAGUCUGCCCUGAGCGAGAAAGUUGGAAACUACAUCCACAAUAUGGCUACAUUUUUUGGUGGACUUGUCAUUGGUUUGGUGAACUGUUGGCAAAUAGCUCUUUUGACAUUGGCCACUGGACCCUUCAUUGUUGCUGCAGGAGGAAUAUCAAACAUAUUUCUCCAUAGGCUGGCAGAAAAUAUUCAGGAUGCGUAUGGCGAGGCAGCAAGCAUUGCUGAACAGGCAAUCUUAUACAUUAGGACUUUGUACUCCUUCACGAAUGAGACCCUGGCAAAGUAUUCUUAUGCUACUUCGCUUCAAGCGACUCUGCGCUAUGGGAUUCUGAUAAGUCUGGUGCAAGGUCUUGGUCUCGGAUUUACAUAUGGGCUCGCCAUAUGUUCUUGUGCCUUACAACUUUGGGUCGGGAGAUUCCUUAUUUUGCAUGGAAGAGCCAAUGGUGGUGAAAUUGUAGUUGCCCUGUUUGCUAUUAUUCUGAGUGGACUUGGACUUAAUCAAGCAGCAACGAACUUCUAUUCCUUCGAGCAAGGGCGUAUAGCUGCAUACAGACUCUAUGAAAUGAUAAGCCGUUCAACUUCUACUGUAAACCAGGAUGGUCGUACCUUAAAUUCAGUACAAGGCAACAUCGAGUUUCGUAAUGUCUACUUCAGUUAUCUCUCCCGCCCAGAAAUCCCCAUCUUAAGUGGCUUCUACCUUACUGUACCUGCUAGAAAGACUGUUGCUCUUGUUGGCAGAAAUGGUUCAGGAAAAAGCAGCAUAAUACCUCUCAUGGAGCGAUUCUAUGACCCAACCUUAGGUGAAGUACUUUUGGAUGGGGAGAAUAUAAAGAACUUAAAGCUAGAGUGGUUAAGAAGCCAAAUAGGACUUGUGACCCAAGAACCAGCAUUGUUGAGCUUGAGCAUUCGGGAAAAUAUCGCCUAUGGAAGAUCUGCUACAACUGACCAGAUUGAGGAGGCAGCCAAAACAGCUCAUGCACAUACUUUCAUCAGUUCGCUAGAAAAAGGAUAUGAAACCCAGGUUGGCCGUGCUGGGCUUUCGCUGACUGAGGAACAAAAGAUAAAGCUCUCCAUUGCUCGUGCUGUGCUCUCAAAUCCAUCAAUUCUUUUGCUGGAUGAGGUUACUGGUGCUCUUGAUUUUGAGGCUGAGAAAGCUGUUCAGGAAGCACUAGAUGUUUUGAUGCUCGGGAGGUCUACUAUCAUUAUAGCCAGACGUCUCAGCCUUAUCAGGAAUGCUGAUUAUAUAGCGGUGAUGGAGGAAGGCCAACUUGUUGAGAUGGGGACACACGAAGAAUUGUUAAAUCUUGAUGGUCUUUAUGCUGAACUUCUUAAGUGUGAAGAAGCAGCAAAACUUCCGAAGAGGACACCUAUGAGAAACUACAAAGAGCCCAGCUCCUUCCAAAUUGAACGGGAUUCGUCAGCAAGUCACAGCUUCCAGGAGUCAUCUUCUCCUAUCAUGUCAAAAUCACCUUCACUUCAGAAAACACAUGGUUUUCUUGCAUUUCGAAAUUCUGAUGCUAACCCUAACUCACGUGAGUCGCCAAACAUUCAGAGUCCUCCUUCAGAGCAAAUGGCAGAAAUCAGACUACCAAUGGUUCCUUCUGAGAGAGCUCCAUCCAUCAAAAGGCAGGAUAGUUUUGAAAUGAAAUUGCCUGAUCUUCCCAAAAUCGAUGUCCCCCUACAUCGACAGUCUUCAAAUACUUCAGAUCCAGAAUCACCAAUAUCACCAUUAUUGACUUCUGAUCCAAAAAAUGAGCGUUCCCACUCGAAAACUUUCAGCCGAACUCUUGAUAUGUUCGAUAAUUUUCGUUCUGAUCCAUCAAAGAAGCAUCAAACAAAGGCUCCAUCAUUUUGGAAGCUUGCUGAGCUUAGCCUUACCGAGUAUUUUUAUGCUCUGCUGGGGAGUGCUGGUGCUGCCUGCUUUGGUUCAUUUAAUCCUCUUCUUGCUUAUACGAUAUCCUUAAUACUGGUGGCAUACUACAGAAUAGGUGUCCGCGAUGUACAUGAUGAAGUGAACAAGUAUUGCUCAUUCAUUGUUGGCAUGGGUAUAAUUACUGUGCUGGCUAACUUCUUGCAACACUUCUAUUUUGGUAUAAUGGGAGAGAAAAUGACUGAGCGUGUAAGAAGGAUGAUGUUUUCAGCAAUUCUGCGCAAUGAAGUCGGAUGGUUUGAUGAUGAGGAGAACAGUGCGGACAUUUUGUCAAUGCGACUCGCAAAUGAUGCAACAUUUGUUCGUGCUGCUUUCAGCAACAGGCUUUCUAUAUUCAUCCAAGAUACAUCAGCUAUUUUUGUGGCACUUCUUCUUGGGAUGCUGCUAGAAUGGCGUGUUGCUCUUGUUGCACUCGCAACUUUGCCUAUCCUUGUGAUAUCUGCAGUUGCACAGAAAAUGUGGCUUUCUGGCUUUUCUAGAGGAAUUCAGGAGAUGCACAGAAAAGCUUCUUUAGUUCUUGAAGAUGCAGUAAGGAAUAUCUAUACUGUGGUGGCAUUCUGUGCUGGUAACAAAAUAAUGGAGCUUUACAGAUUGCAGCUUGGAAGUAUUCUCACAAAAAGCUUUGUCCAUGGGAUGGGCAUUGGCUUUGCAUUUGGCUUCUCUCAGUUCCUUCUUUUCGCCUGCAAUGCGCUUCUGCUGUGGUAUACAGCCGUAGCUGUGAAGGCUGGGCAUCUCAGCCUGGUAACAGCACUCAAAGAGUACAUUGUCUUUUCUUUUGCGACUUUUGCACUGGUGGAGCCAUUUGGCCUUGCGCCAUACAUCCUCAAGCGUCGGAAAUCCCUGACCUCAGUCUUUGAGAUCAUUGAUCGUGUACCCAAGAUUGAUCCAGAUGAUGCCAGUGGCCUGAAACCCCCCAAUGUGUAUGGGAGCAUUGAGUUCAGGAGUAUUGAUUUUUGCUACCCAACUCGCCCCGAGAUGAUGGUUUUGAGUAAUUUUAGCCUUAAAGUCAAUGGAGGACAGACUAUCGCUGUGGUGGGUGUAUCUGGGUCAGGGAAGAGCACGAUAAUUUCCUUGAUCGAGAGGUUCUAUGACCCCACUGCUGGCCAAGUUUUGCUGGAUGGCCGUGAUCUGAAGUUGUUCAAUGUGAGAUGGCUGCGGAGCCACAUGGGGCUGGUUCCUCAGGACCCUGUCAUAUUCUCCACAACCAUAAGAGAGAACAUCAUAUACGCGAGGCACAACGCGACGGAGUCCGAGAUGAAGGAGGCUGCCAGGAUCGCCAAUGCCCACCAUUUCAUCAGCAGCCUGCCUCAUGGCUACGACACGCACGUGGGGAUGCGUGGAGUGGAUCUGACACCUGGGCAGAAGCAGCGGAUCGCCAUCGCUCGUGUGGUGCUGAAGAACGCGCCCAUUGUGCUGCUCGACGAAGCCAGCUCCGCCAUCGAGUCCGAGUCAAGCAGGGUGGUGCAGGAGGCGCUUGAUACGUUGAUCAUGGGGAACAAGACGACGAUCCUCAUCGCACACAGGGCGGCCAUGAUGAAGCACGUGGACAACAUCGUGGUGCUGAACGGUGGCAAGAUCGUGGAGCAAGGGACGCACGACUCACUGGUGCAGAUGAAUGGAUUGUACAUCAAGUUGAUGCAGCCUCACUUCACCAAGGGGUUCCGGCAGCGUAGGCUAAUAUAG
RNAcentral lists this ribosomal RNA (4224 nucleotides) under Triticum aestivum (bread wheat). RNAcentral describes it as "partial small subunit ribosomal RNA". Lineage: Eukaryota; Viridiplantae; Streptophyta; Magnoliopsida; Poales; Poaceae. The record is from RNAcentral.